AAAACUGACCCCUCGUAGAGAUGUCAAUGGAUCGGAUUCGGGGCGAAUUUUUAAAAAAUCCGAACCCGAACCCGACUCCAAAUCCGAGACCCGAAUCUGAACCCAAACCCAACGGAUUUUAAAAAUCCAUAUCUAAACCCGAACCCGACAAAAAAUCCGAAACCCGAACCCGAACUCGAACUCGAAAAUUUGAACCCGAAACAAUUAUUUCUUUUUUUAAUAUUUCAAAAAAUAUUAUAUUAAAUCUAAAUUUUUAAAAUACAAAUUCAAAUAUAACAUCAAAUUUUUUUAUAUAUAUUAUAUAUAAUAUAAAAUAAAUUCGGGUUCAGGUCGGGUUCGGGUCGGAUUUGGGUUCGGAUCGGAUACAAUCAAAAUCUAUAUCCGAAUCCAUAUCCGUCGGGUUUCUAUUUUUGAUAUUCAUAUCCGAAUCCAUACCCAUAUCUAUCGAAUAUAUCCGUUUCAUUCGGAUUCGGAUUCGAAUAAAAUUUCGGAUAUCCAUACCAAUUAACAUCACUGGUCCCUCGCUGCAAAAAAAACACA
This 540-nucleotide long non-coding RNA is filed under the name Ananas comosus (pineapple). RNAcentral describes it as "long non-coding RNA (ACOM_LNC040853)". Lineage: Eukaryota; Viridiplantae; Streptophyta; Magnoliopsida; Poales; Bromeliaceae. The record is from RNAcentral.